AUGUGGAUUGGGGAUCGAAUCUACUCCUUCUGUGGAUAUCCCUGUCUACUCUUCCUUAUCCGUUGGGUUGACCAAGCUGCCUACGUGGCAUGUUUGCAUGCGGUUGAGCCACCAGGAGCUCCUGCUAAUUUGCAUUAUUUGCUUAAAUCUAACAGCAGUUCUAGCAGUGUAAUUUUCCUGUUUUACACCCUGUUAAUUACUGCAUUUUCUGUUGAGAGUAACAUUCCAGAAAAUAUGUGGUUAUUGUAUGUGGCAUGUUCAAUGUGUUUGCUUUUUAGCGAUUCCUAUAACAUGUCCUACUAG
Molecule: ribosomal RNA, 303 nt
Filed under: Triticum aestivum (bread wheat)
Lineage: Eukaryota; Viridiplantae; Streptophyta; Magnoliopsida; Poales; Poaceae
Description: partial small subunit ribosomal RNA
Source: RNAcentral